AUCUAGAAUCUUUGACACCUGCUCACAUCUGUUUGAUGGCUUAUCCUCUAGAGCAAGUGAGGCUAACUUAGUCUUCUUUGGGGACUUUGAAGAAAAGAACAGAAUUUUAGCAGGGUAGAGGGAACCCAAUCAUAUUAGCUACCAUUUGACUGGAUCCAGUGGAUUACUAUUUGAUAGAGCGCGCAUGAAUUCCUCUGCUG
Molecule: long non-coding RNA, 200 nt
Organism: Rosa chinensis
Lineage: Eukaryota; Viridiplantae; Streptophyta; Magnoliopsida; Rosales; Rosaceae
Exons: 3
Source: RefSeq, a predicted model, not a curated record